RNAcentral lists this ribosomal RNA (253 nucleotides) under uncultured bacterium. RNAcentral's name for it is "partial 16S ribosomal RNA". It matches the Rfam family "Bacterial small subunit ribosomal RNA", at positions 524 to 776 of the family's 1533-position model. The record is from RNAcentral.
UACAGAGGGUGCGAGCGUUGUCCGGAAUCACUGGGCGUAAAGGGCGCGUAGGCGGCUUGAUAAGGUUGCGGUGAAAGCCUGGGGCUCAACCCCGGGUCGGCCGUGGCAACUGUCGAGCUGGAGCACUGUAGAGGCAGGUGGAAUUCCGGGUGUAGCGGUGGAAUGCGUAGAGAUCCGGAAGAACACCGGUGGCGAAGGCGGCCUGCUGGGCAGUGGCUGACGCUGAGGCGCGACAGCGUGGGGAGCAAACGGG